AACGAACGCUGGCGGCGUGCUUAACACAUGCAAGUCGAACGGUGAAGUGCCGUCCAUUUUGGCGGGUGUGGGUGAGUGGCGGGCGCGUGCGUAACACGUGAGUAUCCUGCCCCGUUCUGCUGGAUAACCGCAUGAAAGUGUGGCUAAUAAAGGAUAUUCUGGGUCUGUCGCGGGCUGCGUCUGGGUAGGUUGUUGGUUCGGUAGGGGAUGAGCUCGCGGCCUAUCAGCAUGUUGGUGGGGUGGUGGCUUACCAAGGCGGGGACGGGUAGCCGGCCUGAGAGGGUGGACGGUCACACUGGGACUGAGACACGGCCCAGACGCCUACGGGAGGCAGCAGUGGGGAAUAUUGCACAAUGGGCGCGAGACUGAUGCAGCGACGGCGCGUGAGGGAUGGAGGCCUUCGGGUUGUGAACCUCUUUCGCUAGUGAAGCAGGCCUGCCUCGUUUGUGGGUGGGUUGACGGUAGCUGGAUAAGAAGCGCCGGCUAACUACGUG
RNAcentral lists this ribosomal RNA (494 nucleotides) under uncultured bacterium. RNAcentral's name for it is "partial 16S ribosomal RNA". It matches the Rfam family "Bacterial small subunit ribosomal RNA", at positions 28 to 507 of the family's 1533-position model. The record is from RNAcentral.